Molecule: ribosomal RNA, 253 nt
Filed under: uncultured bacterium
Lineage: Bacteria
Description: partial 16S ribosomal RNA
Rfam family: Bacterial small subunit ribosomal RNA
Source: RNAcentral
UACGGAGGGUGCAAGCGUUUUUCGGAAUUACUGGGCGUAAAGCGCGUGUAGGCGGUUCGGUAAGUCGGUUGUGAAAGCCCCGAGCUCAACUCGGGAAUUGCGUCCGAAACUGCCGGACUGGAGUCCCGGAGAGGAAGGCAGAAUUCCCAAUGUAGGGGUGAAAUCCGUAGAUAUUGGGAGGAAUACCGGCUGCGAAGGCGGCCUUCUGGACGGUGACUGACGCUGAGACGCGAAAGCGUGGGGAGCAAACAGG